Acanthosepion pharaonis is the source of this 97-nucleotide non-coding RNA. NCBI's taxonomy places the organism in Eukaryota, Metazoa, Mollusca, Cephalopoda, Sepiida, Sepiidae. The record is from the annotation of a GenBank genome assembly.
UUGAAAUACUGGUUCCUAUAUGAUCACUGAAGUUAAGCAACUUUGAGCCUGGUCAAUAUCCAAAUGGCUGGCCACUUGGGAAUACCAGGUGCUGUUA